UUUAAAACUUGAAAGACAAUUUUUAGGUUUUGGAGAAAGGAGAAUGAAGAGCGAGAGGAGGAAAGGGAUGAAAAGGGAAGGAGAGUGGGAAUGGGGAGGAGAGCUUGAGAGACCUUUAAAACUACUCAAAGAAACCUAUUUCAUGAAUGUAGAAAUGAGUGGCAUGGGAGAGACAAUUAAAAUCAACUUCAAGCAUCCAAGCUCUUGCAAAGGUAUAUGUCUUUCUUUUAUUAAAAUAAGUUGGAUACAUUGUAUUAUUUUCUUUUUUAUCUGUAUAUGUUAUAUCAACGAAUUGAUCACCAAUUGCCUCUCUCCUGCUGCAUGCAGACUUUCAUCCGAAGACAGAAGAGUUGAGCUUGGAGUAUCACAGAACAAGGCCAGCGGAUCAUCAGGUGAAGAAAAUCUGCAAGAGAAAGAAAUCAUGAUUUGCAGCAAACUUCAAGUACGUAUUUUCUCUCUAUCUUGCUAAAAUUAAUAUUUGGUUCAAUUUUUUUUUGUUUUUGUUUUUUUGUGUGUACUGUUUCAAUUGUAGAAGAAUUGCCAAAACACAAGCAGAUUGAUAAAGGCAGGCAUGAGUGAGCAAGUUUUGUGACCAUUAUGUAGAGCCAUAAUGUUAUGGAACAAGAUAAACACAAAUUUUUUGAUUGUGAAAAUUCUUCUAGUGUACAUGCAUUGAAUUCUAAUUGUAAAUUGAUAUUGUGGUAUAAAUUAUUAGUGUGAUUUUCCAUUAAUUUUCAUGGUGAAUGAUUACUUUGGAAUUUUAGGAAUUUUGUGGGGUGUACCGAAACGUCAUUAUCUAAUGUUAUUUACAACAGUGGUUUUUCAUAGAAAACAUUAUCU
Molecule: long non-coding RNA, 840 nt
Filed under: Prunus persica (peach)
Lineage: Eukaryota; Viridiplantae; Streptophyta; Magnoliopsida; Rosales; Rosaceae
Description: long non-coding RNA (PPER_LNC005336)
Source: RNAcentral